Molecule: long non-coding RNA, 306 nt
Filed under: Homo sapiens (human)
Lineage: Eukaryota; Metazoa; Chordata; Mammalia; Primates; Hominidae
Description: HSALNT0096292
Source: RNAcentral
GGGCAAUUUGGGCUGUCACUAGCUGCCUUGGACAGGGCACUUUCCUUCCUGGGACCUCAGCUAGAAAACAUGGGUGUUGAGCUCCAUCAGGACUUCACACCUGCUGGUGUGAACCUCACUAGUCAUCAGGUUCUCCAGGAAAGCCUUAAACAAAUAUCCCUUCCCAAUAAGAAAAAGACCAACCACCCAAUGAGAAAUGGGCAAAGGGCAGAACAGGUAUUUCACAGGCAAAUAAAAAAAAAUGGCCAGAUGGCCAGAUAAAGAGAUGCUCAGAAAGAUAGUAGAAGGCCAGGGGCAGUGGCUCAU